CAAGCUAAACGGAGGAACAUGGACG
This 25-nucleotide non-coding RNA is filed under the name Cricetulus griseus (Chinese hamster). Lineage: Eukaryota; Metazoa; Chordata; Mammalia; Rodentia; Cricetidae. The record is from RNAcentral.